AAAUAUAGAACUACAAGUUACCUCAGAACAUAACAGAUUGUACAUAAGCAGUAUAAAACACAACUACAGUUACUUCAGAACAUAACAGAUUGUACAUAAGCAGUAUAAAACAAACAAAGUUCUACAAAUUACUUCAGAACAGAACAAAUUGUACACAAGCAAUAUAAAACACACAACUACAAGUUACUUCAGAACAUAACAGAUUGUACACCAGCAGUAUAAAACACACAACUACAAGUUACUUCAGAACAGAACAAAUUGUACAUAAGAAAUAUAAAACACACAACCACAAAUUACUUCAGAACAGAACAAAUUGUACACCAGCAGUAUAAAACACACAACUACAAUUUACUUCAGAACAUAACAAAUUGUACACCAGCAGUAUAAAACACACAACUACAAGUUACUUCAGAACAGAACAAAUUGUACAUAAGACAUAUAAAACACACAACAACAGAUUACUUCAGAACAUAACAGAUUGUACACCAGCAGUAUAAAACACACAACUACAAGUUACUUCAGAACAGAACAAAUUGUACAUAAGAAAUAUGAAGCACACAACAACAGAUUACUUCAGAACAUAACAAAUUGUACACCAGCAGCUUAAAACACACAACUACAAGUUACUUCAGAACAUAACAAAUUGUACAUAAGCAGUAAAAAAACACACAACUACAAGUUACUUCAGAACAGAACAAAUUGUACAUAAGAAAUAUAAAACACACAACCACAAGUUACUUCAGAACAUAACAAAUUGUACACCAACAGUAUAAAACACACAACUACAAAUUACUUUAGAACAUAACAGAUUGUACACCAGCAGUAUAAAACACACAACUACAAGUUACUUCAGAACAUAACAAAUUGUACAUAAGCAGUAAAAAACACACAACUACAAAUUACCUCAGAACAUAACAGAUUGUACACCAGCAGUAAAAACAUACAACUGCAAGUUUCUACAGAAUAUAACAGAUUGUACAUCUGCAGUAUAAAACAC
Molecule: long non-coding RNA, 997 nt
Filed under: Mytilus galloprovincialis (Mediterranean mussel)
Lineage: Eukaryota; Metazoa; Mollusca; Bivalvia; Mytilida; Mytilidae
Source: RNAcentral